Camellia sinensis is the source of this 3333-nucleotide non-coding RNA. Lineage: Eukaryota; Viridiplantae; Streptophyta; Magnoliopsida; Ericales; Theaceae. The record is from RefSeq and is a predicted model, not a curated record.
AUUUUUAGGGGGAAAUGAAUAUAUUGGGGCCUUUAGAUAUAUCUGUUCCUCUCACACACAGAUUCCAAACCUCACCCUACAUGACCUCACCUCCCCCUUUCUCUUUUCUCACGCCUCACGCCUCUGUGUCUCUUCUCUCUCACGCCUCACGCCUCACGCCUCACGCCUCACGCCUCACGCUGCCCUCCUCUCUGUUACUAGAGCAUCACCGCAAGGGUUAGAUGAGCACAACGCAAGGGUUAGGUGAGCACACCGUAAGGGUUAGCACCACCGUCGCUUUGUCUCGGGUAGGGGAAUUUGGGGCUUUAUUGGCAUCAAACUGGAAAGGGUAUGACCCUCUCCUAAUUUCUUUUUCUCAUGUUUUUUCUAUUACUUAAGGGGAUCGAAAAGGCAUUGGUAGCAUUAUAUAAUGGGUUUUAUUGGACUAGGAUAUGAUUUUGAAUAUUGGUAUAUUAAUUUGGGAUUUGAUUCCACAGUUUCUUUCUCUUCUGAUCUUUUGGUGCUACAUCAAGUUUUUUUUUGACCUUUGAUAAUGAUCCUUUUGAUAUGUUUCCUCAUUCUCACACAUAUUGGACUCCUCAAUCACCACCGCCGUCUACGGCGCCGAUUCUUUCCCUUCUUCUUUUAGCAAGUUCAAUUCGGCUCUCACUGCUAGACUAUUGAAUCCCAUGUCUUCACCACUACCUCCCUCCGACAAGGCCCGAUCGAGCCCGACCCUUUUCGAAAUGAUGGCGAGCGAGCCCGAUUCCAUUCCCAGAUCCCAACAGCGAUUGUCGGAGAUUUUGGGUUCUCGGAGUCCGGGAAGUCAGUUCAAUGACCCCAAUUCGAGCGAGCGAUGUCACCAGAGUACUUGGAUUGAAGGUUUCAGCUGCAAUUGGGUUUGAUGCUGGGGUUUUGUCAUGUUUGGAGUAUGUAGAGGAUGCUCCAUGGGCUGAAGAUGAAGAAGAGAAGGUGGCUUCAGUAUGUAGCUAAUGAGUAUGUAGCUAAUGAGAGCUUGGACAAGCUUCUCUUCAGUUUUGAGGUAUGUAGAAGGUUUAUGCUGGGUUUGCUGGUUCUACUACCAUGGUGUCUACUCAUGGCAAUGGUCAGUUUUUGAUUUAGUAGUAGUACGUAUGUCAAUAAUGAGUUUUUGUAAAGACAUUAUGGCCAAAGAAGCGGUUGUACACCCAUAUUAUGCAAUAUGCAUUGCGUGGAUUGGAUGAGAAAACAGAGGAUUUUGGCUCUGUGUCUAAAUGGAAGUCAAGCAAAGCAUCCUACAAAUGUGCACUUUUAUAGGAUCUUAUUUUCAAGAUAACAUUGGACCAGGUAAAUAUGAGCAAAUGCUUAAUCUCCAUCCCACCACACAGAUGAUAUAUACACAUGUUUAAUUAAGGAGGCUUAUGCCUAUUUAUCAACAAAAAAAAUCAAAAAAUUAAGGAUGCUUAUGCUUGGUACUGUUUUAUGUUGUGUAGAUUGCUGCCUUUCAGUGUACUUGCAUUUAAACUAAAUGUCCUGUUUUUGCUUCAAGUUUUAUCCAUAUCAUUAUGCUAAAUGUCCUUUCGACUAGCUAAUGGGAACCUUGCCUGCUGCAAGGUCUGUAUUACUUUCUCACUCUGUCUCUCUCUCUCUCUGCUGCUGCAUUCAGUACUGUAUGAGCUUAUCAAUUUCAUGUUACAGUUCUAGUGCUCUGCCUGAAGAGUACAGGAGAUUGAUGACUGAUCCAGCAUCACCGAUCCAAGAAUUCUACCCUUUUGGUUGUAUUACUUGAGUUUCAUAGUUUUCUAUUAUUUCUUUUUUAACCUUUUUUUUUUUUCCGACACAUGAAUUUAUAGCACACUAUCUAAAUUGUUAGUUAACUUAUAUUUAUUAUAUAAAUACCAGCCACAAACACUCAAUGUGUUAGUUGGAAGCUUGUCAUUGUGAUGCUCUAAAUUAUCAGAGCCUCAAAUUAUUUUGGCAUCAUCUGACAAAUGUUGGCGUAUGAUAUAGGGCUUACUUUAGACCUAUGUUGCUGUUAGAUAGUUUAGGGUGGUGGUUUUAGCUAUAUAUUUAUAUGUGUGGUGUUUAGUGGGUUUGACAGUUUGAGAGGCACUUAGUGGGUUUGACAGUUUUUGGACAUAAAUAUAUUCUUUUAGUUGUAUUAGUCUGAGUCUUAUUGGUUAUGAGUCAAAUUGGAAGAAACAACUUGUAUUGAUUAGCAAUCAUGUUUGUUAGUAAUAGAUUUAUGUCUGAUAGUUGUCCAUCUUCUUUGUAUGACAAAUUUUGAAACCCGGUCUAUGGCAUGUUCCACCUCGUCCGAUCUGUAUUUAUAGUGCAAGACGUUUGACCUGUGUUUAUAGUAUAAGAAGUUCAUUUACUUAUUCUUCCUUUAUGCAAGGAAAGGAGCCCAAUGUUAUUGUCUUAUUAACACUUCCUAAUCUAUUAGAAGACAGAACUACUUGACCUAACAAAUCACAUUCUUCCCAUGUGCGCCGCACCGCAACCCCUUCUUUAGGUACCCUUUUGUUGGGGUGUAUUGCAAAUCUCACUUUAUAAAUUGUUAUGACUCCUCUCUUUGUGUGUUUUUGUUGUGUAUUGAAUGUGUUUGAUAUGUGGAUUGUGUGGACAAACUCAAAAAUGGGUAGUGAUGAUAAACUCUAAAUUUGGAUCAUUGGUUUUGGUGAUUGUUUGAUUGAUGUACUUUUAGAUCCAAUUCAACACUAGUUGAAGACUCCUGAACUAAUAGAAUGAACUGGGUCAAUUCUACGUGACAUGUAUCAAUAAAGUUGAAUUCUUUAACCAUCUUUUGUGCCUUUAAAUUGUUUCCAAUGUCUGUUUUGGAUUUGGCUUUGGCUAAUUGGAUGGUUUGGAGUAUUUGGUGGUUCAACAAAUGCCAAGGUACUUGUAGCUUCACUUACUGCAUUAGAAUCCAUUUAUUUCCUUUUAUUUUUCAUGUUGCUUUCUCUUACUUUUGAACAAUUAACUUCAGACUAAUUGUUACAAAUGUUGUACUGAGCCCAGAUGUUUUGCUAAAUAGUCAUAUUUCAACACUCAAAAUAUAUUGUAAGGAUGCCCAAUAACUAACUAAUUAUGGUACAAAAGCUUUUCCUUGUUCAAUAGGAUCUGAUAAACCAUACAAACCAGAGCCUCAAGGUGUUGAUUUAUCUUGAUGAGCUUGAGCCGAUGUUGAGAAGCUUGCUUUGGUUAUUGACUAACAUUGAACUUGAGAGAGGUUGAUGUACAAGCGCCCAACUGCAUUGCAAGAUAGGACAAGGGAUAGUGAUGAGGAUGAUCUUAAAAUCUCUUCAAAUUUGAGGAAAAAUAUGACUGUUAGAAAUUUGGUGAAACAUUUGGUUCAUAUUUGAUUUAGUAAAA